RNAcentral lists this ribosomal RNA (415 nucleotides) under uncultured bacterium. Its description in RNAcentral is "bacterial SSU rRNA". It matches the Rfam family "Bacterial small subunit ribosomal RNA", at positions 355 to 786 of the family's 1533-position model. The record is from RNAcentral.
UCGGGAAUAUUGCGCAAUGGAGGAAACUCUGACGCAGUGACGCCGCGUACAGGAAGAAGGUUUUCGGAUUGUAAACUGCUUUAGACAGGGAAGAAAAAAGACAGUACCUGUAGAAUAAGCUCCGGCUAACUACGUGCCAGCAGCCGCGGUAAUACGUAGGGAGCAAGCGUUAUCCGGAUUUAUUGGGUGUAAAGGGUGCGUAGACGGGAAGACAAGUUAGUUGUGAAAUCCCUCGGCUUAACUGAGGAACUACAACUAAAACUAUCAUUCUUGAGUGCUGGAGAGGAAAGUGGAAUUCCUAGUGUAGCGGUGAAAUGCGUAGAUAUUAGGAGGAACACCAGUGGCGAAGGCGACUUUCUGGACAGUAACUGACGUUGAGGCACGAAAGUGUGGGGAGCAAACAGGAUUAGAUACC